RNAcentral lists this ribosomal RNA (753 nucleotides) under uncultured bacterium. RNAcentral describes it as "bacterial SSU rRNA". It matches the Rfam family "Bacterial small subunit ribosomal RNA", at positions 636 to 1389 of the family's 1533-position model. The record is from RNAcentral.
UCUGANUUGAGUGCAGAAGGGGAGAGUGGAAUUCCAUGUGUAGCGGUGAAAUGCGUAGAUAUAUGGAGGAACACCAGUGGCGAAAGCGGCUCUCUGGUCUGUCACUGACGCUGAGGCUCGAAAGCGUGGGUAGCGAACAGGAUUAGAUACCCUGGUAGUNCACGCCGUAAACGAUGAGUGCUAGGUGUUAGGCCCUUUCCGGGGCUUAGUGCCGGAGCUAACGCAAUAAGCACUCCGCCUGGGGAGUACGACCGCAAGGUUGAAACUCAAAGGAAUUGACGGGGGCCCGCACAAGCGGUGGAGCAUGUGGUUUAAUUCGAAGCAACGCGAAGAACCUUACCAGGUCUUGACAUCCCGAUGCUAUUCUUAGAGAUAGGAAGUUACUUCGGUACAUCGGAGACAGGUGGUGCAUGGUUGUCGUCAGCUCGUGUCGUGAGAUGUUGGGUUAAGUCCCGCAACGAGCGCAACCCUUAUUGUUAGUUGCCAUCAUUAAGUUGGGCACUCUAGCGAGACUGCCGGUAAUAAACCGGAGGAAGGUGGGGAUGACGUCAAAUCAUCAUGCCCCUUAUGACCUGGGCUACACACGUGCUACAAUGGUCGGUACAACGAGUUGCGAGCCGGUGGCGGCAAGCUAAUCUCUGAAAGCCGAACUCAGUUCGGAUUGGAGGCUGCAACUCGCCUCCAUGAGGUCGGAAUCGCUAGUAAUCGCGGAUCAGCACGCCGCGGUGAAUACGUUCCCGGGCCUUGUACACA